This 709-nucleotide ribosomal RNA is filed under the name Lepus americanus (snowshoe hare). Its description in RNAcentral is "partial 12S ribosomal RNA". It matches the Rfam family "Bacterial small subunit ribosomal RNA", at positions 302 to 1333 of the family's 1533-position model. The record is from RNAcentral. Lineage: Eukaryota; Metazoa; Chordata; Mammalia; Lagomorpha; Leporidae.
UCCCCUCCCCAGUGAGAAUGCCCUUAAUAUCAAUCUAGAUCAAGAGGAGCAGGUAUUAAGCACACUAACUAGUAGCUCAAGAUGCCUUGCUUAACCACACCCCCAAGGGAUACAGCAGUGAUAAAAAUUUAGCAAUGAACGUAAGUUUGACUAAGCUAUGCUACUCCAGGGUUGGUAAAUUUCGUGCCAGCCACCGCGGUCAUACGAUUAACCCAAACUAAUAAACACCCGGCGUAAAGCGUGAUUUAAAAUCAAAUAACAACUAAGCUGUAAAAAGUAAUAGUUAUAAACAAAAAUAAACAACGAAAGUGAUUUUAUAACCUUCGAACUCACGAUAGCUAAGAUCCAAACUGGGAUUAGAUACCCCACUAUGCUUAGCCCUAAACCUAGAUAAUUCCAGAACAAAAUUAUUCGCCAGAGAACUACAAGCCAGAGCUUAAAACUCAAAGGACUUGGCGGUGCUUUAUACCCGCCUAGAGGAGCCUGUUCUAUAAUCGAUAAACCCCGAUAAACCUUACCACUCUUUGCCAAUUCAGCCUAUAUACCGCCAUCUUCAGCGAACUCUAAAAAGGAGCAAAAGUAAGCUCAAUCAUCACCAUAAAAACGUUAGGUCAAGGUGUAGCCUAUAGAGUGGAAAGCAAUGGGCUACAUUUUCUACUUUAGAACACACGAAAGCCCCUAUGAAACUCUAGAGGCCAAAGGAGGAUUU